RNAcentral lists this ribosomal RNA (524 nucleotides) under uncultured bacterium. Its description in RNAcentral is "partial 16S ribosomal RNA". It matches the Rfam family "Bacterial small subunit ribosomal RNA", at positions 28 to 523 of the family's 1533-position model. The record is from RNAcentral.
GACGAACGCUGGCGGCGUGCCUAAUACAUGCAAGUCGAACGCUUCUUUCCUCCCGAGUGCUUGCACUCAAUUGGAAAGAGGAGUGGCGGACGGGUGAGUAACACGUGGGUAACCUACCCAUCAGAGGGGGAUAACACUUGGAAACAGGUGCUAAUACCGCAUAACAGUUUAUGCCGCAUGGCAUAAGAGUGAAAGGCGCUUUCGGGUGUCGCUGAUGGAUGGACCCGCGGUGCAUAAGCUAGUUGGUGAGGUAACGGCUCACCAAGGCCACGAGGCAUAGCCGACGUGAGAGGGUGAUCGGACAGACUGGGACUGAGAAACGGCCCAGACUCCUACGGGAGGCAGCAGUAGGGAAUCUUCGGCAAUGGACGGAAGUCUGACCGAGCAACGCCGCGUGAGUGAAGAAGGUUUUCGGAUCGUAAAACUCUGUUGUUAGAGAAGAACAAGGACGUUAGUAACUGAACGUCCCCUGACGGUAUCUAACCAGAAAGCCACGGCUAACUACGUGCCAGCCGCCGCGGUAA